Molecule: long non-coding RNA, 422 nt
Filed under: Marmota monax (woodchuck)
Lineage: Eukaryota; Metazoa; Chordata; Mammalia; Rodentia; Sciuridae
Source: RNAcentral
GCAGAAGGGAAUCAAGUUAGGGUCUCUCCGGCCCUCAUUCUCCCUGCAGCUGCCUGUUUCCUGUGCAUCCUCCUGAGCUGCUCUAGGGAGCCUGAGCAAUGGUGGCUUGUGCACACCUAACUUCGGCAUAUUUUCUCCCCUUGCUCUCCUGCUGUCUCACGGGGAGGUCUCACUGGACCCAAGUCUCUCUGGUUUCAGAAUGAGAGUUCUGUUUUGUGGAUGAACCAUGAUUGAUGUCAGUUGUUUUGAGAUUUGAUACCAUUACAAAGUGGGUCUUGAGGCCUGUGAACAGAUCCCUAUGGGAGGACUUUUUAGCUAUUUUACAGCUGAGCCAACCUGGCUGAGCUACCCCACUGCAUACCGCUGCCCUACACAAGCCAGGCUCUCAGAGACGAUCCCACAGACCAGCCGGAAGGGCCUGG